This is a long non-coding RNA of Cyprinus carpio carpio, 1561 nucleotides long. The record is from Ensembl. NCBI's taxonomy places the organism in Eukaryota, Metazoa, Chordata, Actinopteri, Cypriniformes, Cyprinidae.
GUUUAUUUAUGGUUCUUCUCUAUUUUAGACUGUUAGACUCUUUAAGAUAAUGGAAAUAAUAAUGUGCUGAAGUGUAAUGAAAAUGUAAUUUAUAAAUGAAUGUAUAAAACAUAAUCAAUGCCUUAAUAUGUCUGUCAGCCAACCGUAAGCAAGUAUUCAUCAGUGCCACAGUAUAAACGCAUCUAAAUAGUUUUACAGGACUAACCAACUUAAAAGACACAAUCUAUUUUUUGGUUGUGUUCUGUGUUUUCUCUCUCUCUCUCUCUCUCCUCGCUCAAGCUUUUUUAUUGGGAAGAACACAUUUGACCUUAUCAUGUCAGGUAACUCAGCUGUGGUCAUUGUGGCCAGUCUGUGACCGACAGUGAUAGCAGCACAAAGUGGAGGUGUGGCAUUAUUGACCCUGAGGAGGGCAGUGGCACUCAAAAAAUGCUUGCGUUCAUGCACAGGGCUGAAUUAGCUCUGCAGAACCACCAGACAGGAUAAGGCUUUUUUCACAGUGUUUUAUUAAUGGCCACUGUCCUUUUUAGGGGAAAAUACAGUACAGACCAGUUCUAGGGGAAACUACUUUGAAAUUACUUUGACAUGUUAGAAGCUACUCAUCAUUUAAAAGUUAAGCUACAGUAAAUGCUUUUUAAUGAAGUAUUUAAGACUGGGAUACACUACACAUUUUUUUCUCUGAUCUGCAGUCCGGACAAGUCGACUCCAGUUGCAUAUAGUCAGAUCCAUUGUGCAGAUUUUGGGAAGUCGGAGUUGACAGAAAAUCACGUAGUGUAUGAUGGGCACAGACUCUGAUUUUUUCUUUUUUAGCUUCAGACUAUGAAACCAUCCCUGCUGUGUGGCCGCAUCCAAAUAUGCCAUAUAUAGCUCAAUCAUUUCAGCUAAAGAAACUUCUGAACGGCAUUAGCAUCCAUUACUGCGCAGCCACUGUCACCUGUGCUGUCAGGCCUGUGUUACACAAUAAACACCAAGUGAGUUUAUUAAUCUAAGCUUAAUUGGCGUUAAAUGAUGUUGUUGACCCCCACCACACCAGAUCUCACUUCCCAUCAAUGGCUUGUGAAUGACAGGUGAAGUCAUUAUGACUCAAGGAAAUCGAAAGUCAGGUUGAGAGUGUAUUCCCUCUCAGAAUAACCUUGGCGUCACACUGAGGCUGGAGUGUGGCUGAUUGCUUACGGAAAACACUCAUCACUUGAAAGAGUGACCUUCGUGUGGCAUAAUGACACGUUGUGAAGAGGCAGGUGGUGCAAAGAGGACUCGCUGCAGACAGCUGCUCGUUCGGCUCCCGCGGAGGCAUUCUUCUGAUUAUCUCUGGAACUUGUCUCAUGUGCAUUUCUGACAGCAAAUGCAGAGCAUUGCGAGAAGGCAUUACUAUAGCCAGUGCUCUUAUUGAUACAUCUCAGCAGAGGGCUGCCGACUUCAAAGACAAGGACUUGAGUCUAAAUAGUCGUGAACAGCAGCACACGGUGCACCACGGAACCUGUGUUUGAACCAGUGGACUGACCUCACUGGACGCACUGAUUCUCAUCUUUUUUUCUCCUUCUCUCUCUCUCUCUCUCAUCCUCUA